Molecule: ribosomal RNA, 387 nt
Filed under: uncultured bacterium
Lineage: Bacteria
Description: bacterial SSU rRNA
Rfam family: Bacterial small subunit ribosomal RNA
Source: RNAcentral
AACGAACGCUGGCGGCGCGCUUAACACAUGCAAGUCGAACGAGAAGGCGUAGCAAUACGCUUGUACAGUGGCGAACGGGUGAGUAAUACGUGGGCGACCUACCCUCGAGUGGGGAAUAACCCGCCGAAAGGCGGGCUAAUGCCGCGUACGCUUCCAUCUUUAUGGAGGUGGAAGGAAAGCCGUGCCGUGGGCACGGCGCUCAAGGAUGGGCUCACGUCCUAUCAGCUUGUUGGAGGGUAACGGCCUACCAAGGCUCCGACGGGUAGCUGGUCUGAGAGGACGAUCAGCCACACUGGCACUGCGACACGGGCCAGACUCCUACGGGAGCAGCAGUGAGGAAUAUUGCGCAAUGGGCGAAAGCCUGACGCGGCGACGCCGCGUGGGGGA